This 499-nucleotide ribosomal RNA is filed under the name uncultured bacterium. RNAcentral's name for it is "partial 16S ribosomal RNA". It matches the Rfam family "Bacterial small subunit ribosomal RNA", at positions 28 to 507 of the family's 1533-position model. The record is from RNAcentral.
GACGAACGCUGGCGGCGUGCUUAACACAUGCAAGUCGAACGGGCCCGCCCCUGUUUUUGGGGGUGGGUUGAGUGGCGAACGGGUGAGUAUCACGUGAGUAACCUGCCCCCUGCUCCUGGAUAACUGCUUGAAAGGGCGGCUAAUACGGGGUGUGCCGGCUGGUCCGCAUGGGCCUGGUCGGGAUAGUUUCAUCUUCGGGUGUUUCGGUGGGGGAUGGGCUCGCGGCCUAUCAGCUUGUUGGGGGGGUGAUGGCCCACCAAGGCGGUGACGGGUAGCCGGCCUGAGAGGGUGGGCGGCCACACUGGGACUGAGACACGGCCCAGACUCCUGCGGGAGGCAGCAGUGGGGGGUAUGGCACAAUGGGCGGAAGCCUGAUGCAGCGACGUCGCGUGAGGGAUGGAGGCCUUCGGGUUGUGAACCUCUUUCUCCGGUGGUGAAGGCCCUGUCCGGUGCGGCGGGGUUGACGGUAGCCGGGUAUGAAGCGCCGGCUAACUACGUG